Long non-coding RNA from Sardina pilchardus (European sardine), 556 nucleotides. RefSeq lists it as uncharacterized. The record is from RefSeq and is a predicted model, not a curated record. Lineage: Eukaryota; Metazoa; Chordata; Actinopteri; Clupeiformes; Clupeidae. The transcript has 3 exons.
UAGAUCGGAUCAGAGAGAAGAAGACAAACGAAGAAGAUGGAGUUGUGAUUUCUCAGUUCCGAAUGGCGGCCAUAUUGGAAUUUUCUUUACUGUCGCUAGUUUCACACUACUUGAUUUCUCAUGUUGCAGUAAGCUAAACGAUUUCAUCUCUUACGUGACUUGUUGUUCUUGCACGUAACUGUGUAACCGUCUGACUGAUAAAGAAGUUGUUAAAUGUCUUUACGUUUAGAAACAUAAUCAAGCAAACUCAUCCAAGCAGAUGCGAAUAGCCUACAAUGUCAGUACUCAAACCACCAGUAGCAGGCUUAGGACUAGAGUUUGCCAGUCAGACCACUACACCUUUGCCAGCACCACCACCCAGCAAGCUUCAUCAACUCCAGCCAUGCCGAGUUUACCAAUCAGACCUACACCUCUGUCAAAUUCGCUCACAACGCUGCCAGUAACACCCCAGCAAGGUAGAACUGCAUUUUCAUUAAUCUGGCACCAAUAUCAAGGGAGAAACAAGCCAUGAAUGUCUGUCACAACUUCUUUGCAUCUUUACUUUCCUUACAUCUGA